This 468-nucleotide ribosomal RNA is filed under the name uncultured bacterium. Its description in RNAcentral is "partial 16S ribosomal RNA". It matches the Rfam family "Bacterial small subunit ribosomal RNA", at positions 28 to 507 of the family's 1533-position model. The record is from RNAcentral.
GAUGAACGCUGGCGGCGUGCUUAACACAUGCAAGUCGAACGGAAAGGCUCCUGCUUGCAGGGGUACUCGAGUGGCGAACGGGUGAGUAACACGUGGGUGAUCUGCCCUGUACUUCGGGAUAAGCUUGGGAAACUGGGUCUAAUACCGGAUAGGACAACUUUUUGGAUAUUGUUGUGGAAAGCUUUUGCGGUAUGGGAUGAGCUCGCGGCCUAUCAGCUUGUUGGUGGGGUAAUGGCCUACCAAGGCGUCGACGGGUAGCCGGCCUGAGAGGGUGUACGGCCACAUUGGGACUGAGAUACGGCCCAGACUCCUACGGGAGGCAGCAGUGGGGAAUAUUGCACAAUGGGCGCAAGCCUGAGGCAGCGACGCCGCGUGGGGGAUGAAGGCCUUCGGGUUGUAAACUCCUUUCGCUAGGGACGAAGCUUUUUUGUGACGGUACCUGGAGAAGAAGCACCGGCUAACUACGUG